Podarcis lilfordi (Lilford's wall lizard) is the source of this 12075-nucleotide non-coding RNA. NCBI's taxonomy places the organism in Eukaryota, Metazoa, Chordata, Lepidosauria, Squamata, Lacertidae. The record is from the annotation of a GenBank genome assembly.
GUCCAAAACAGUUAACAGACUGCAUCUCAGCACUGUCAAGAUGGAUCUGCAUAAUAGGUGAUGAAUAGUUUUUUUGGAAGGAUAUAUUAACUUUUACUGUUGGGGAAAAGUUUUAGAUUGGUUUGUCAGUUUGUAACCCAUCAAGUUGAGGCCAAUAUAUGUAUACAUUCACAACCCUGCACCCAUCAAAUUAUCGACUUUAUGUGUGACUUUGGGACUGAUUCAUACAACCACAUUUCCUUUCUCCACUCUAUAGCAGGUUUUUAUCUGUAUCUGAAAAAAUAACCAAGAAGGAGAAGAUAAGGAAUGAGGAAUAUGUGUCCUCUGUCUUUAAGCUCUUUGCUCUCCUACUUUUAAGGCUCGCCGGGUUCUGGGAGAUGGAGGGUCUGGAAUGCUUUCUAAUGACAAGGUGUCAGCCGGGUGUUGUUCUGAGUCUCCCAUGAUUUCCCAAUUUCCCCCCUCAUCUGCCUCUGAGCUGCUACCUCCCUCAAAACCCUGUUGUAAAUCUAUACUGUCUUCCUCUUCCUCCUCCCUGGAAGGCUCAGGAUGGGGAGGAGGUCUUCACCAUUCCUCCUCUGCCCAGUCCCUGGCAAUUAGUUUUCUUUAACAGUGGAACCUUUCUUUCUCAAGAAAGGUUGGAAGGUAUGUAAUUUGAAUGGCUAUUGCUCUCUGCUGUUAGGGUGUUGUCAGCAGAUCUCAGCUAAUUGCCCAGGAAAGUAUAAAGAAAAGGAAAAGUUUCAUAUAGUCCUUUUUUAUUUCAAACUUUACACAGAGAGGCUAUAGAACCCAGACUCUUGGAUAAUGGCUUUAUCCUGAGUGAAUCUCCACCCCCCCCAUCUCUCCCACUUCCUCAUUUGUCACUUCUACGGGUGCUGCUACCUACCCUCUGUCUUCAAGCUCUUUGUUCUCCUACUUUUAAGGUUUGCUGGGUUCUGGGAGAUGGAGGGUCUGGGACGCUUUCUAGUGAGAAUGUGUCAGCCACCUACUGCUCUGGCUCUCCCAUGAUUUCCCAGCUUUCCCCCUCAUCUACCUCUGAGCUGUGACCUCCUGCAAACCCUUGUCUUCCUCUUCUUCCUCCCUGGAAGGGUCAGGAUGAGGAGGCAGUCUCCACUAUUCCUCCUCCUCUGCCCAGUCACUGACAACUACCCAUCUUCUCUGAAAUUGGGAUGGGGAUGAAAUGAUGGAGGUGAUCAGAAGUGUAGUUAAAACUGAGUUUGCGGACAAAGGCCAAAGACUUGUUGGCAGAUUCCAAGAAAGUUAUUCUAGAAUCCGUUUCAGCAAAGAUUGCCACUGAAGUUUGGGAAAAGCAAAAUUCAAAGCUAGUUGGGAGCAGGGGUUGUCCCUGAACUGAGACGUGUUCCAAGGUUGUAGUCACACCCCUUACAUACCCUCGUGUUCCUCUUGCCAGUAAAUGUUGGAGUUAUGAGUGAGUGUAUGGGGAAUAUAGGAGAUUAGAAGAGGAACUCAGCUAUGGUGAAUUUUGUUGUUGUGAUGAAUUUUUGUCUAUAGCAGCCUUUCUUAACCUGUGGGUCCCCAGAUGUUGUUGAACUACAACUCCCAUCACCACUAGCUAGCAAGGCCAGAACUCAGGGAUAAUGGGAGUUGUAGUCCAACAACAUCUGGGGACCCACAGGUUGAGAACCGCUGGUCUAUAGCUAAUGAUCGCUGUCAUGGGCACUACUUUGACUCGGUACUAUCAUCUCUAUCUUGAUAUCGCUCUCCUCUGAACUGAGUUUGCAGAGUGACAGAGGAAUGUGGCACAAAACAGAUUUCUCCCAAACUAUGCCCAUCAGCCCUCAACCCAGAAGCCAAGAUGAUCCUUCUACAUAUGCCACACAAAGGAAAAUAUUGAUGAGCCAUUCUAGAUCUUUAGCAAAAGUCAGGCAUUUUGUGGUAGAAGAAAAAGAAGGUUCUUAAGUACAUUAUUCUGAAAUAUUAACUGGAUAAUGACUAUGACAUGUGGCAGAAUGGCAAAAAUUCACAAAAAAACCUCUAGCAACUAUACCACUAUAAACUGUAAGGGAAGAAAGCCCCCUAGUUAGAGGAUUAAAACAUAUGCCAAGAUUAUUAUUUAAAAGUCUUUAUCCAUGUAAGUAUAUUGUGUUUACUUGUUGUUGUUUAGUUAUUUAGUCGUGUCCGACUCUUUGUGACCCCAUGGACCAGAGCACGCCAGGCACUCUUGUCUUCCACUGCCUCCCACAGUUUGGUCAAACUCAUGCUGGUAGCUUCGAGAACACUGUCCAACCAUCUCAUCCUCCGUCGUCCCCUUCUCCUUGUGCCCUCCAUCUUUCCCAACAUCAGGGUCUUUUCCAGGGAGUCUUCUCUUCUCAUGAGGUGGCCAAAGUAUUGGAGCCUCAGCUUCAGGUUCUGUCCUUCCAGUGAGCACUCAGGGCUGAUUUCCUUAAGAAUGGAUAGGUUUGAUCUUCUUGCAGUCCACGGGACUCUCAAGAAUCUCCUCCAGCACCAUAAUUCAAAAGCAUCAAUUGUGUUUACUACCCACUGGUAAUUUUCCUUUAUACAGUCGUUUCACAGGUCCCUUUCCAUCUUCUUGGCAUUCUUAAAUCUCUUAAAGGCAUCUUUCAUUCCCUCCAUGUCUGUCCUCUUCAGUCAGAGUUCCUCUUGGCCGGCAUCUUUCCAAAAGCAGUCGAAAAAAUUAAACAUAAACAAACAGACCACCACUCCCUGUUACUACCUUGUGGCACUGCAAUUUCCCCCUCUUUUAUUUUUUUUUGAAGGCCUCACUAAAAGCAACAUGUGCUAUAUCCACAUAAUUCUGAAUUGCUAAAAGGUAGAUCAGCCUUUAUCUUUGAUGCUGCAAGCGUUUGAUCUUUAUUAUUGCUGAUUGAAAACAGCAACAUCAAAGAUGUGUAAAUGACUAUUUCGAUCCACUUCUCAUGGUACUAAUUUUUUUUGCACUGUGUGACUGUGAGGCACAGGGAAGAGAAACCCAUAGAAGUCUUUCCACUCCUUUAAAAAGAAAAUCUUGUGUGUGGUUAUCAGGUUCUAUUCCAUAGAAUCAUAAAAUUGUAGCGUUAAAAGGGACUACAGAGGUCAUUUUAGUACAACUCCCUGCAAUGCAGAAACUUUUUAUCCAGUGUGGGAUCUCAUGCCCUACAGACUAAGCUAUCAGAUCUGUCCAAUCAGCUAAGAGCUAUGAGCGAAGACUUCAGAUGAACAUCUGGUCAGGAGACGAGAUGCAUUGCUUUGGGACCAAGCAUAAUCCAAAUCUUCCAUCUUCAGAAUUGGAAGCCCCAUCUUUCAAUCUGGUGGAAUGCUCUCCCACAAGAGACCAGGGCCCUGCGGGAUUUAACAUCUUUCCGCAGGGCCUGCAAGAAGGAGCUGUUCCGCCAGGCCUUUGGGCAGGAUGCAGUUUGACUUACUUUCCUUUGUAUAAAACAAGCCCGAAGGAGGCCCCCAACCUGCUCACAGGUCGUUGUGGAAACAGUUGGCCCUGGCAAGCAUUAACCACUCUCAAUUCCAACCUGAUAAUUGCCACCUGCCCAAAUUUUAACUUGUCUGAAUUAAUGUUAAGAUGUAUUUUAAUUAAUUGAUGUCUGUUUUUAUGCAUAUUGUGUUGUUUUUAUGAUAUUAGCCGCUCUGAGUCCGGCCUUGGCCAGGGAGGGCAGGAUACAAAUAAAUGAAAUUAUUAUUAUUAUUAUUAUUAUUAUUAUUAUUAUUAUUAUUGCCUUUUUCUGUGGUUAGUGUUUUGGGGGAAUGUAUUCUGUACAUGUUUGGAUGCACUUUCUUCUACAGUCAAACUGCAUGUUCACAAUCUUCUAACACACAUUGCUGGCUCCAACCUCCACGAUUUUCAGCUGCAAUGAAGAACGAAGUACAUGGUCUAUAAAUGGCUUGGUCACAUAAACCUACCUACAAUAAUAGUUCCUUGAUAGGAAGCUGAUCUUUCUGUACUGUAACUUCAGUACAGCCCCCGUAGCAUAGGACUGUAAGAACAUAAGUAGAGCAUCUGUUGGUCAGACCAAAGGCUUAUCUGUUCCAGAAUCGUUUUCACAGUGGGAAAAGAGGCCUAUGGGAAGCUUGCAUGCAGGACCAGAACACAAUAGCACUCUAUCCAACUUUGAUACCCAGCAUCUGGACCCAAGAGACCUGGAAAAAUAGCAGCAGAAAAAUAUGGAACCAUACAUGGAUCCACAGUAUGCAACUGAGCAAAAUAAUAUCUCCAUGUAGUUGCUUAGAUCUGAGUUGGAAACCAGCUCCCCGAAGAGCACAUCCUCAGGACUCCUGCUAACUUCCAUUGCAUGGUUUACAGGAGUGUAAACAUGCAGGGAAUGUGGUGUUGGAAGAGCACAUCUUUGUUUGAGAUUCUGUCCUGUUAUGUGAUACCCAGAGUCUUCCUGAUGUGGAAGGCAUUGAGGUGGAAGGCAAUGAGGUGUUGCUCUUGACGGCUGGAAGUUGCUCACAACGUAAAUACAUAAAGCAGUGUGCUCAACAUGCAAGCCUGGUUAAAAAAAAAAAGCAAUCUGGGUAGACCUUCAUCUUGGUAUUGGUCAUUAGCAUCGCAUAUACUGAACAACAGUGAAGUAAGUGCUUGCUUAAACUAUACUAGAAUUCAGAAUCAAACAUGGCAAUUGAAGGCACUUAUAUAAAAUUGUCCAAUCUGAAUUAUAAUAGUAGCACAAUAGCACAAACAUAUCAAAGAGUUCUGGUGCUGACGUACUGAAGCAUACAUAAUCUGCAAUUGAAAAAUGCUCAGAAGUCUGGAAGUUCUUCACUUUUUAAAUAUCUCCUGAUUCUUUUCGGAGAACAAUUUCAAGUUGAUAUGGCACUUCCAUACACGAUCGUUGUAAUGGCUGGUUUUGUUGUGAUACAGAGCUUUGCAUUUGAACUAGCAGAUGGGUUUAAACUCACUUUGAAAAUUGGGAUUAAAACCUGAGUCUCAUUCUGUGAAGGGGGCACAUGUCUCCAAGCCACUUGGGCAGGGGGGAAUAUGCAUUAGACAUGCACCAUUAAUGGCUGCACCUCCCUGCCCAAGUCCGCAGAGCAUAGGAAACAUGCUCUGUAGUUGUGUUAUGGUUCAAUGUCCCCACACACUCAGUCCCACAUUGCGUGAGAUGAUCUGAAGGGGCUUCUAAGAUCAUUUGACUGAUUGUGCUUGGAAGCAUCUGCCCAGUCAGGUAUCCUGAUAGGACUGGGUAGCUAAACAAGCUUCAAUUCUCUAGGGUUGCCAUAUUCCCCAAAGUGAAAAUCCAGACAUUUUGCUGAUUCAACACAAAAAAUCUGCUCGGCUGCCAUUUCGCAGACUGCUCAUUGUGCAUGCAAGGACCAGUGUCCACAGAGACAAUGUGGGCACACCACAAUUUCCCUUACCUGUUCUCUAUUUAAGCAUAAUGCUAGCACAGGACUUCAGCAACUCUGGAUUGUUUUCAGUGUAACAUUAAGGGAAAUAGUCCAUCAGCACAAGAAUUUAUCAUUGUGCAAUGGAAUGUUCUCUCCCUCUUCUCCCACUGUGUGCCCCUUAAAUCUGUUCUGUGGUUUUCCCCAAACUCCAGAGCAGAUUUGGGGAUGAUGUGGGGCACAUGGAGUGGAGGGAAAGUUCCAUUGCACUAGCAGUAAUCCUUGCACAAGUGAAAUUAUUUAGGUGAAACCCACCCUCUGUGGGGACAUUUAUUUGAUUUGUCAGUAGGUAUCACAAGAGCUGAGAUUUUUUGGCAGAAUUCUGAUUUUGCCACCCAAUGCUAAACUGAAAUUUUGAGCACAUACAAAUUAACAAAGCUAGCUCAAAACUACCUUCCUCACCCUGAGAUCUCUUGGCCCUCCAAGUGUCAUAGCUGUCAACUUUUCCCUUUUCUUGCGAGGAAUCCUACUCGGAAUAAGGGAAUUUCCAUUAAAAAAGGGGAAACGUUGACAGCUAUGCCAAGUGUGUGAGAUCUAUGUACAGUGGUACCUCGGGUUAAGUACUUAAUUCAUUCCGGAGGUCCAUUCUUAACCUGAAUCUGUUCUUAACCUGAAGCACCACUUUAGCUAAUGGGGCCUCCCGCUGCCGCCGGGCCGCCAGAGCACAAUUUCUGUUCUCAUCCUGAAGCAAAGUUCUUAACCCGAGGCACUAUUUCUGGGUUAGCGGAGUCCGUAACCUGAAGCGUAUGUAACCUGAGGUACUACUGUAUGUGAUAAAGUGGCCAUCUGCAUGGGCUUUUGUGCAUUUUCAGAAGUGGAAAACAAAAAUAUUUACAGUUAUGGGAUGGAAAUGAAGUAACAGAUCUCAAUCCUAAAAUACCAAAAUAGCUGUUUCAGAUUCGAAUCACAAACUAUGAGGGGGCUGUAGCUUGUCUAUGAUCAUAACAGUGACCUAGGGUGGAUCUACACACAGGGGAAAAAACGCUAUAAAUAAGUCUGGAAUUAGAUCAUUAUAACAAUUUAAAAACAAAACAAAAAAACCCUAUGGAAAAACGUGUAUAAAAAUUCCCUGCUCACUGUUGCCAUCUGGUGUUGCAAGUUUAUAGCACAUUCAAUAGCUGUUGUUUUUGCUAAUGUAGCUGAAUCCAUAGUGUCGAGGCUCUGCUACCCACUGAGUGGAUCACAGAAUAUACAGCCCUCAACAAUAUUUUUCACCAAAACAAUUGCUAAUAUAAGGCAAGGGGCACAUUUCUGGAACUCUGCUAAAAUCCUUCGGCUUUGUACUAAUUAAAAAAAUAGUGAAAGUUAUUCUGAGUAUUCUGACAGUGAAUCUAACCCAGCAAAUAUGGCAUGUGGCAAAGGCAGCAAAAGGUCUGAAGGCCAAAAAACCCCCUGUAGACUCUGAUGCAUACAUUGAAAAAAUUAGAGCAGUCUUGGCCGCUGACUGGUCAGCAGCCUUAAAGCCCAUUAGAAGAAAAGCAAACUAUAAGUGUAAUCCAAAAUCAAGCAUUUCAAAACCUUAUAGAUUUCAAUGGGAUGGAGCUGAGGACACGCUUAACUCUCCCAGUGAAACCAGGGUCACUUAAAGCAUGUUUAACUUCGACUGGCUAAGACAGAACAUUUCACUUUUUCUCUAGGAGGUACAAGUUCUGUUAAUCUCUAAAAUAAUUAAUACAUGUGCUAAGCUUCCUGGCAUGAUCCAACAUUCAAUUUGGUUGAAAAGAGUGAAAAAGUGAUAUGGUAGCAAAAUGUCCCUAUCCUGUCGGUAUGGGUGGCACAAAUGACAUCCAUGAAAGGUUUAAUUUGCAUUAUAAUGAAACUUUUUCCUGCCUGCCUAAAAAUCAUAUUAUACAUGUGGAAUACAUCCGUCAAAGACAACCUGAGCACCUAUAAAUUGUAACCUUAAGUUCUGCUUUGGAGAAUUGCCUUUGGUUAAGACAGAAAUGGGCAAUCACUGUAGUUGUCUAAAAUAUCCGAAUCAAGCAAUCUGUUGAUUUAAAUAAUUAUUGUUUACCACCAUACUUAAAAAUCCUAUUGAUGUAACUGCGACAAAGAUUGCUCAUUGAUGCUGAAAAUUGCAUUAGCAAGGUCCUUUCAUACACCGAAAACAAAACAGCCCAUAGAUUUUAUUCUUGGUGUGAUGAUAGUGAUAGGCUUGAUUCAGACUUGGCGGCAUGGUAUUUUGUUCCCAUAUGAUAGAGUUGGGCGGCGGGAUGACCAUGAUUAUUAUUUUUUAAGCAAACUCCAUCUAUAUGUGAAAACAUACGAAAAACGAUUGAAUCAAUCUUGCUAGGCACAAAGACACUAUAAAUCAAUGUACCAGUGAUAUGUCGGCGUCUUCUUCGGUGAUCACUAGUAGCCGAGUAAGAUUGUCUUCCAUGAACACUGUCUUAGCAGUGAGUCCGUAAGUGACUAUGGAGGCCAAUUCUGGAUCCCCACGUCCUUCCACAGUGGGGACAUAGUUUUCUGGGCAGGAGUUGAUCAUGGUGAGGGUUUGCCAAAUGUGCCUUCCUCUUAGCUCAUUUCUCCUUUUCACCCAUGACUCCUUUGGUAAAGGCUGUUCUCCAACUGGAGCGCUCACAGGCCAAUGUUUCCCAGUUGUCGGUGUUUAUACUACAUCUUUAAAGAUUUGCUUUGAGAAAGUCUUUAAACCUCUUUUGUUGACCACCAGCCUUAUGCUUUCCAUUCUUGAGUUGGGAAUAGAGUAGUUGCUUUGGAAGACGAUAAUCAGGCAUCCAAACAACAUGACCAGUCAAAUGAAGUUGAUGUUGAAGAAUCAUUGCUUCAACACUGGUGAUGUUUGGUUCUUCCAGUACACUGGCAUUAGUUCGCUUGUCUUUCCAAGUGAUGUGUAAAAAUUUUUGGAGUCAUCGUUGGUGGAAUCUUUCGAGGAUUUGGAGAUGGUGUUUACCAGUGAUAUGUAGGCACACUGCUUACAAACCCAUAAAGUGCUAAUAUCAGAGUCAACAUGAGUGGAACUCUAAAAUAUUGAAAUGGAAAAUUCAGCCUCUGAGCUCAGGGAGGAGGAUGAGCUGGAGCUUGUCCCAAGUGGUGGUGGAGGCUACGAGGGAGCAUCCUGUUGCUAUCCAUGACUUGUCUAUGGCCGCUGCUGCCAGCCUUCUUCCUUGGACAGCUUGCAGUGGAUUCUGGAGAGCAGGUAAGGAGGAGGAGAGGCUGCCACACCAAGGCCCAGCUCCAUAUGAUGCACCAGCUCUGAUGGACAGGCAGAGGGCAGGGCCACCCUGGGCAGAAGGAAAGAGGGAGUGUAGACCAAGGAGUCUUGUGUGUGUGUGUAUGUAAAGGUAUAUGGACCCCUGACCAUUAGGUCCAGUCGUGGCCGACUCUGGGGUUGUGGCGCUCAUCUUGCUUUACUGGCCAAGGGAGCCGGUGUACAGCUUCCGGGUCAUGUGGCCAGCAUGACUAAGCUGCUUCUGGCAAACCAGAGCAGCGCACGGAAAUGCCGUUUACCUUCCCGCCAGAGUGGUACCUAUUUAUCUACUUGCACUUUGACAUGCUUUUGAACUGCUAGGUUGGCAGGAGCAGAGACCAAGCAACGGGAGCUCACCCCAUCACGGGGAUUCGAACCGCCGACCUUCUGAUCAGCAAGUCCUAAGCUCUGUGGUUUAACCCACAGUGCCACCUGUGUCCCAUAUAUGUGUGUGUGUGUGUGUGUGUGUGUGUGUUGUGCAUCCAUGCUUUGUUCAAUCUUGCCCCUUUCUAAAAUAUAUUUUUUGGUGUGUGUUUUUCUUUUUGUAAAUCUGCCAAAGAAUAAGAUAAAAUAAAAUCAGGAUUAAGGUGUUUUCUCAGGACAAUGGAGGGUAUGGGUCUCAUUGAUGGUGAUGGCACUCACCCUUCUUCUGAUAGGAAAUGCUCUGCAGGAGGGGGACAAAAAUGAAGGCUCAAGGAAGGUCAGUUGGGGGGGGAUGUCCCUAUUUUCAUCUGAAGACUGUUGGAGGGAAUGCCAUUACCAUUUCCAUGUUUCCAUGGCAUGUAGUUGGAAUGGCUUCGAAGUAGGAAUGGCUUCAAAGGCAGUUGAUCAGGACUCAGUUUUUGGCUUUUACAGGAAUCGCCGCAAGGUCCUGCUUUUGUGAUGGAAGAAUCAGUGCCACAAUAGCAGGUUUUGUUGCCAAAUUAUGCCGCACAUCUCACUAGUUAACUUAAUUAGUAACAGAACAGCUGAGACGUAGCUUGACCAAAUCCACCAAACAAAUUUAUAUGUGCAUGUUUGGCAGAUGGGAAUUGCACGUGAAAUCCUCCCUGGCAGUCUAGGGACAAAAGAUAAUAUUUGUUUUUCUUCUGGAAAAUCAAGACAAGCCUUCAUGUGGGAAGAUAAUCCCCUUGAUUCUGGCUCGGAGGGUGGCUUGUCUGCCUCUUUGCCUUGGGAGCUGUAUUCUGCAAAACCCAUGUGUGAUGCAGACGUCCAGACGGACUUAAGAUAGCCAUUUCUUGGCCUCCUCCUCUUCAUUAAGAGCACUGAAUGCAAAUGAAUUAAUUAGCACAUUCCAGUGAAUGAACUUCAUUUAUCAGGAGGAAGAAAAACGGCCGAGUGAUAAUCAAAUGGUUUAAGAGUUAAUUGAAUACAGAAAUCCUGGAUGCAAAUGAUGUGAGCUCAACUUGGCUUAACAGGCAUCUUAAGUUUUAGCUAUGCUGCUGCAGUUUUUUUUGGUCUCCUGUUGAAAGAGGGGGUGUUAAGAGGGAGGGAGAAGAACGUUUGCCGGGGAGGGUGUGUGUCAAAUUUUGUUCCUUUCUAGAUCUCAGCAAUCCAGCAGGAUUAGUCUGCCACUCAGGUUCUUUAAGAUAAAUAUGACCUAACAGCCCUAAAUUUGCAUUUCAAAGUGUAAUUUUGUCCAAUCAUAUUCGUAAGUGGUAUACUUGAUUGCGGUGAUACUGUAGGUUAUGAUAACUGGCUGCCCAGUUCAGGUCUUGGGAUAUAACAAUGCUCUCAUUGCUACACUACAGAAAGACAUACAGCAAUGUUCACUGUGUGUUAUCUUGCCAAAUGAACUAGCCAAACAUAAAGAAAUAAAAACAACUCAGUCUAUAAUAUCAUUACAUAAACCACAUGAGUUGAUGGAGGAAGCCGGUCAUACUCUUUGAUUGAAACAGUUUAUUUAGUAAAAUAAAGUUGACAAUUGACAAGCAAGUCUUUCCAUAAAACCAAAUCUGAGAAUUCCACUCCGUCUAAUUAGCUGUUACUAAUUUCAGGCUGCAACCAAAGAGGCCAUAAUGAAAAAAGGGAAGCAGUGAGCUCAUAAAGUAUCUUUUCGUUUCCAUCUUCAAAAAGGAGCAACAAUGCAAUAAGUGGAUCUGUGUCAACAGCUGCCCUAUUGGAGCUCAUGAAAACCUUCCUCCAAAAACUCAUCAAUUGCUAGGCAGCUCCACACUAUAUAUAUUAAAGGUAAAGGGACCCCUGACCAUUAGGUCCAGUCGUGACCGACUCAGGGGUUGCGGCGCUCAUCUCGCUUUAUUGGCCGAGAGAGCCAACGUACUGCUUCCGGGUCAUGUGGCCAGCAUGACUAAGCCGCUUCUGGCAAACCAGAGCAGCCCAUGGAAAUGCCGUUUACCUUCCCACCGGAGCAGUACCUAUUUAUCUACUUGUACUUUGACAUGCUUUCAAACUGCUAGGUUGACAGGAGCAGGGACCUAGCAACGGGAGCUCACCCCAUCAUGGGGAUUCGAACCGCCAACCUUCUGAUCGGCAAGUCCUAGGCUCUGUGGUUUAACCCACAGUGCCACCCGCGUCCGUCUAAUUAGCUGUUACUAAUUUCCAAUUUCAGGCUGCAACCAAAGAGGCCACAAUGAAAAAAGGGAAGCAGUGAGCUCAUAAAGUAUCUUUUCGUCUCCAUCUUCAACAAGGGGCAACAGUGCCAUAAGUGGAUAAGUGUCAACAGCUGCCCCAUUGGAGCUCAUGAAAACCUUCCUCCAAAAACUCAUCCAUUGCUAGGCAAGUCCACACUAUAUAUUUUAGUCCCCCAUAUACCUUCCAACAAUUUGGGUUGGCACUAUGAGUUAUCCUGCUCAGAGUGUGAGGAGUCAGAUGCCACCCGUCAAUCAAAAUAAAGCAACUCUCUUUAAAUCUUGCUGAAGAGGAAUGAAAUAGAGCUUUCUCACUCUUCCCUCCACCUGACAUCAUUGACCUGGAUGCUGUUGUGGUGUGUUCACAGAUGCAGACAUGCAUACCGACUGAGAUCCAGAAAACUGCAUUCUUUGUCUCUCUGAAAGCAUUCCUCCUGUGUCCAAUUAUCUUUUUAAAAAUUAUUAUUCUCUUGGUUCUGGCGUUUCUUCCUUGCAUCAUCUAGUCUCUUGCUCAUGUUCUCAGUAGGCGAUGCUACAGAAGCAAUAUGCAUCCAGGCAGCUACCAGUAAUGGGACUAAAGGGUUAAGAAAGGAAGAGGAGAAAUCCAAAUGCUGUUAAGAACUAAUCUGAGGGGAGGUUACCUCUUCAAGGCAAUUUUCUCACUAUGGCAACCACAAACACAUCCCCACCUCUGACACCAGUACAUGCCACCGAACUAGUGGUAGCAAAAAUUGUUACUUUAGGCAAGACUUCUGUAUAUUUGCCUGCUAUCUGGCAACUUCCCAGCCUCCUUAAUUCAGUGGCUUCUCUCUUGUUUGCCCAUGUCACUGGAUCUUGCCGUAGCAGUGAUACCCCGACUUUUCUUUGUUUUCCCACAGUGGAGUACUGGCUUGCCGGCAGUAUAUUUUGAGAGACACACAGUGC